Molecule: ribosomal RNA, 464 nt
Filed under: uncultured bacterium
Lineage: Bacteria
Description: partial 16S ribosomal RNA
Rfam family: Bacterial small subunit ribosomal RNA
Source: RNAcentral
GACGAACGCUGGCGGCGUGCUUAACACAUGCAAGUCGAACGGAAAGGCCCUGCUUGCAGGGUACUCGAGUGGCGAACGGGUGAGUAACACGUGGGUGAUCUGCCCUGCACUUCGGGAUAAGCCUGGGAAACUGGGUCUAAUACCGGAUAGGAGCCAUUUUUAGUGUGAUGGUUGGAAAGUUUUUUCGGUGUAGGAUGAGCUCGCGGCCUAUCAGCUUGUUGGUGGGGUAAUGGCCUACCAAGGCGGCGACGGGUAGCCGGCCUGAGAGGGUGGACGGCCACAUUGGGACUGAGAUACGGCCCAGACUCCUACGGGAGGCAGCAGUGGGGAAUAUUGCACAAUGGGCGCAAGCCUGAUGCAGCGACGUCGCGUGGGGGAUGACGGCCUUCGGGUUGUAAACUCCUUUCGCUAGGGACGAAGCUUUUGUGACGUUACCUAGAUAAGAAGCACCGGCUAACUACGUG